AUUACCGAUGGUAAAAAUAUCGUCGCUAAUAGCUGUCGUUAAUAUUCAAUUUUCUUAUCUUCAAUUUUUUUAUGUCUUAUAGUUUAUUGUCAUUCUUUUUAGUUAACUUUUAUUAUAUUUUAUAUAUUAUCAACCUAUGAGUUAAUUAUGAUUUUAUUUUUUAUCUUUUUGUAGAUUGAACUUGCAUGGUGAUUAUAUACUUUUUUUUAUUUUAUACGGGCU
This 222-nucleotide long non-coding RNA is filed under the name Elaeis guineensis (African oil palm). RNAcentral describes it as "long non-coding RNA (EGUI_LNC020695)". The record is from RNAcentral. Lineage: Eukaryota; Viridiplantae; Streptophyta; Magnoliopsida; Arecales; Arecaceae.